Molecule: transfer RNA, 67 nt
Filed under: Thaumetopoea pinivora (Eastern pine processionary)
Lineage: Eukaryota; Metazoa; Arthropoda; Insecta; Lepidoptera; Notodontidae
Description: transfer RNA-Ser
Source: RNAcentral
AAUUAAUGAGCUUAUCUAAGCAUUUGUUUUGAAAACUUAAGAAAGAAAAAAAUUAUUCUAUUAAUUU